CCAUACAUCUUAUGUAUCAAGAAAAAAAAUUAAUUUUAAAUUUUUUUAAAAAUAUGUAUAUCAAAAUUUAGCAUAUGAAAACCCAUGGCUCUGAUACCACUGUUGGAAUUUGGGAUUUGAAGCAUGCAUAUGUGUUUCAAAAAUUUAAUUUUUUAAACAUCAUAAUGGAGAAUAAGAUUAAAAUAAUUUUAAUCUAAAUUAUAUAUGCAUAAAAAUAUAAAAUCACAUGGAUCUAUUUCAUAUGCUGAAAUUGAUAUAUGCUGAAAUUCAGAUUGUGAUCCAAUCGCAUACCUAUUUCGUAAUUUCUUUCUUCAAAAUUAGAUCUAGAAGAGAUGAGGCUAUUUGUUAGCCGCACAAGUAUCUAACCUCUAUGAGUAUCCACUCAGAAUCAGCCUAGAACAAUCCUCUAUAAUCUAACUUUUGAUUCUCCAAAAUUUAGCCUGCUGAAUCUAAAUGAAGUCUGGAUCACGAUCAACGUUGGAUCUUUCUCCUUGAUCCUUAUCUUCUCUUCCUCUCUAGCCUUUUUUCUUACCUUAUAGUGCUACAAGAGACCAACAACCAGCAGAUGAAGGGCCGCCCAACACCUUGGGCGUGUGCAACACUUGGGAUGCGCAUCCCAAGUAUGGGGCGUAUAUGGGAUGCCCAAGGGAGAAGAAGAGAAAGGG
This 665-nucleotide long non-coding RNA is filed under the name Elaeis guineensis (African oil palm). RNAcentral describes it as "long non-coding RNA (EGUI_LNC037909)". The record is from RNAcentral. Lineage: Eukaryota; Viridiplantae; Streptophyta; Magnoliopsida; Arecales; Arecaceae.